CAUGUACUCCCUCCGUCCGGAAUUACUUGUCGCAGAAAAGGAUGAAAAUGAAUGUAUCUACAACUAAAAUACGUCUAGAUGACAUCCAUUUCUAUGACAAGUAAUUCCGGACGGAGGGAGUAUAUU
Molecule: non-coding RNA, 126 nt
Organism: Triticum urartu
Lineage: Eukaryota; Viridiplantae; Streptophyta; Magnoliopsida; Poales; Poaceae
Source: Rfam